RNAcentral lists this ribosomal RNA (465 nucleotides) under uncultured bacterium. Its description in RNAcentral is "partial 16S ribosomal RNA". It matches the Rfam family "Bacterial small subunit ribosomal RNA", at positions 28 to 507 of the family's 1533-position model. The record is from RNAcentral.
GACGAACGCUGGCGGCGUGCUUAACACAUGCAAGUCGAACGGAAAGGCCCUGCUUGCAGGGUACUCGAGUGGCGAACGGGUGAGUAACACGUGGGUGAUCUGCCCUGCACUUCGGGAUAAGCCUGGGAAACUGGGUCUAAUACCGGAUAUGACCUUCCAUGUAGUGUGGGGGGUGGAAAGAUUUAUCGGUGUGGGAUGAGCCCACGGCCUAUCAGCUUGUUGGUGGGGUAAUGGCCUACCAAGGCGUCGACGGGUAGCCGGCCUGAGAGGGUGGACGGCCACAUUGGGACUGAGAUACGGCCCAGACUCCUACGGGAGGCAGCAGUGGGGAAUAUUGCACAAUGGGCGGAAGCCUGAUGCAGCGACGCCGCGUGGGGGAUGACGGCCUUCGGGUUGUAAACCUCUUUCGACAGGGACGAAGCUUCGGUGACGGUACCUGUAUAAGAAGCACCGGCUAACUACGUG